AAUACAGAGGGUGCAAGCGUUGUUCGGAAUUAUUGGGCGUAAAGCGCGUGUAGGCGGUCUCGCAAGUCGGGUGUGAAAGCCCUCAGCUCAACUGAGGAAGUGCGCCCGAAACUGCGGGGCUUGAGUACCGGAGAGGAUGGCGGAAUUCCCCAAGUAGAGGUGAAAUUCGUAGAUAUGGGGAGGAACACCGGUGGCGAAGGCGGCCAUCUGGACGGAUACUGACGCUGAGACGCGAAAGCGUGGGUAGCAAACAG
This 254-nucleotide ribosomal RNA is filed under the name uncultured prokaryote. RNAcentral's name for it is "partial 16S ribosomal RNA". It matches the Rfam family "Bacterial small subunit ribosomal RNA", at positions 522 to 775 of the family's 1533-position model. The record is from RNAcentral.